Molecule: transfer RNA, 77 nt
Filed under: Acidithiobacillus ferrooxidans ATCC 23270
Lineage: Bacteria; Pseudomonadati; Pseudomonadota; Acidithiobacillia; Acidithiobacillales; Acidithiobacillaceae
Description: tRNA-Glu
Rfam family: tRNA
About the family: Transfer RNA (tRNA) molecules are approximately 80 nucleotides in length. Their secondary structure includes four short double-helical elements and three loops (D, anti-codon, and T loops).
Source: RNAcentral
UGCUUCCAUCGGCUAUCGGUCAGGCCGCCGGGUUCUCAACCAGGAAAGGCGGGUUCAACUCCCGCUGGAAGUACCAU